RNAcentral lists this non-coding RNA (219 nucleotides) under Azadinium spinosum. The record is from RNAcentral. Lineage: Eukaryota; Dinophyceae; Gonyaulacales; Amphidomataceae.
CCUCUGCCUGCCCAGGUGAAGAUCUGCGACAUGGGCCAGGGGCUCAUCCUGCGGGAUAGUUGUCUUCAAGAACUGAGGAGGGCACAGCAGGGCACCGGCAGCCCUGAGCCGCGGCAAGAGUUGGUGGAGUGCAUGCCACCUGAGGUCGCGUGGGAGGAGGUUACCACUGUGGCUCCAGAGAAGAUUCCUGUGCAGGUGCACAAACUGGACAUCUGGAGC